AGCGAACGCUGGCGGCAGGCUUAACACAUGCAAGUCGAACGGUCCUUCGGGAUAGUGGCGGACGGGUGAGUAACACGUGGGAACGUACCCUUAGGUUCGGAACAACACAGGGAAACUUGUGAUAAUACCGGAUAAGCCCUUCGGGGGAAAGAUUUAUCGCCUUUGGAGCGGCCCGCGUCUGAUUAGCUUGUUGGUGAGGUAAUGGCUCACCAAGGCUACGAUCAGUAGCUGGUCUGAGAGGGUGGCCAGCCACACUGGGACUGAGACACGGCCCAGACUCCUACGGGAGGCAGCAGUGGGGAAUCUUGCGCAAUGGGCGAAAGCCUGACGCAGCCAUGCCGCGUGGAUGAUGAAGGUCUUAGGAUUGUAAAAUCCUUUCACCGGGGACGAUAAUGACGGUACCCGGAGAAGAAGCCCCGGCUAACUUCGUGCCAGCCGCCGCGGUAA
This 447-nucleotide ribosomal RNA is filed under the name uncultured bacterium. Its description in RNAcentral is "partial 16S ribosomal RNA". It matches the Rfam family "Bacterial small subunit ribosomal RNA", at positions 29 to 523 of the family's 1533-position model. The record is from RNAcentral.